RNAcentral lists this ribosomal RNA (495 nucleotides) under uncultured bacterium. Its description in RNAcentral is "partial 16S ribosomal RNA". It matches the Rfam family "Bacterial small subunit ribosomal RNA", at positions 28 to 507 of the family's 1533-position model. The record is from RNAcentral.
GACGAACGCUGGCGGCGUGCCUAAUACAUGCAAGUAGAACGCUGAAGGAGGAGCUUGCUUCUCUGGAUGAGUUGCGAACGGGUGAGUAACGCGUAGGUAACCUGCCUGGUAGCGGGGGGUAACUAUUGGAAACGAUAGCUAAUACCGCAUAAUAGUAGAUGUUGCAUGACAUUUACUUAAAAGGUGCAAUUGCCUCACUACCAGAUGGACCUGCGUUGUAUUAGCUAGUUGGGGGGGUAACGGCUCACCAAGGCGACGAUACAUAGCCGACCUGAGAGGGUGGUCGGCCACACUGGGACUGAGACACGGCCCAGACUCCUACGGGAGGCAGCAGGAGGGAAUCUUCGGCAAUGGACGAAAGUCUGAACGAGCAACGCCGCGUGAGUGAAGAAGGUUUUCGGAUCGUAAAGCUCUGUUGUAAGAGAAGAACGAGUGUGAGAGUGGAAAGUUCACACUGUGACGGUAUCUUAACAGAAAGGGACGGCUAACUACGUG